Long non-coding RNA from Colletes gigas, 658 nucleotides. RefSeq lists it as uncharacterized. The record is from RefSeq and is a predicted model, not a curated record. NCBI's taxonomy places the organism in Eukaryota, Metazoa, Arthropoda, Insecta, Hymenoptera, Colletidae. The transcript has 3 exons.
UGGAAGGGAAACGUAGUGAGGGAAGACAACAGUAUUCCCGUUAAUUGAACGACUCUCGUAGAGAACGAGGGGGGGUGGCGGCAAGACGAGGUGGCCAGGGACGGAGGGGGAGGAUUACUCGCGCCUCGUCCAAGGAUCAGCGGAAAUUUCUAUCGGUUUACAAAAUGAUUGUAAAAUCGACCGAGGGAGCGAUUCCGAAUCAACGAAUUCGCGACUCAUUUAUUAUCUUUCGGGGUUACACACACUCUGACGCUGCAGUAUUCAAUGAACCUCGACGAAGACACUAUUGGACACAUAUGCAGCCAUGUUCGAGCGACAGGCGUUCAAUCGGACCCUUCGGGCAAACCUUCCCGGUCAUCCGAGUUACAAAGAUUUUGGAGUACUACUAUAGUAUACGCGGAAGCUAAGAUGACGCAAGAUUCGUAGGACGCGAAUGACUCUGUGUUUGGAUGUAUGGGUGACCUAGAAACUAGUUUACAGUUCUGGUGCAGAUGAGAAACUACGUGUUGGCAAGAGUGGCUACACUCACACAGGAAUGUGGAAAUCAGUCUCUAAAUCAGUCAGUCCUCCAGGUCUUGCAACCUUGAAAGCCUUUGACACAAGAGACACCGAAACUACAAUCUCAAAGUGCAACUUUAAUGACGUACAACACCCCCAA